UUUGAAGGACUCGAGGCCGUGGAGAAGUUCUACAAGGCAUAUGCACAUCAAUCAGGUUUUGGCGUUCGUAUCAGACAACAGAAAAAGAUUGAGAAUAAGGUGGUCCGAACUAAGCGUUUCAUGUGUAAUAGAGAAGGAUUCAAGUCAAAAGAUAUUAAGGAGAUUAAUGACCCCUUGAGGAAAAGACGUAAGCAGACAAACACGCGAUGCGGUUGUGAUGCCCAUAUAUUUGUUAGACUUUGUGGGGAGAACACCUACAAGAUAGACUCAUCGAUUGAGCAUCAUGUUCAUGGUCUUGUAUCACCAGAUAAGUGUCAUUUGAUCAGAUCCAAUCGUAGAGUUAGUGAGAGGGCAAAGAAUACUUUAUACACAUGUCAUAAGGCAAGCAUUGGAACCUCCUAG
This 402-nucleotide ribosomal RNA is filed under the name Triticum aestivum (bread wheat). RNAcentral's name for it is "partial small subunit ribosomal RNA". Lineage: Eukaryota; Viridiplantae; Streptophyta; Magnoliopsida; Poales; Poaceae. The record is from RNAcentral.